This 373-nucleotide ribosomal RNA is filed under the name uncultured organism. Its description in RNAcentral is "bacterial SSU rRNA". It matches the Rfam family "Bacterial small subunit ribosomal RNA", at positions 526 to 896 of the family's 1533-position model. The record is from RNAcentral.
CGUAGGGUGCGAGCGUUAAUCGGAAUUACUGGGCGUAAAGCGUGCGCAGGCGGUUUAGUAAGACAGGCGUGAAAUCCCCGGGCUCAACCUGGGAACUGCGCUUGUGACUGCUAAGCUAGAGUACGGCAGAGGGGGUGGAAUUCCACGUGUAGCAGUGAAAUGCGUAGAGAUGUGGAGGAACACCAAUGGCGAAGGCAGCCCCCUGGGUCGAUACUGACGCUCAUGCACGAAAGCGUGGGUAGCAAACAGGAUUAGAUACCCUGGUAGUCCACGCCCUAAACGAUGUCAACUAGGUGUUGGGAGGGUAAAACCUUUUAGACCGGAGCUAACGCGUGAAGUUCGACCGCCGUGGGGAGUACGGCCGCAAAGGUUA